CAGCCGCGGUAACACCGGCAGCUCUAGUGGUAGCAAUUUUAUUGGGCCUAAAGCGUCCGUAGCCGGUUUAAUAAGUCUCUGGUGAAAUCCUGCAGCUUAACUGUGGGAAUUGCUGGAGAUACUAUUAGACUUGAGACCGGGAGAGGUUAGAGGUACUCCCAGGGUAGAGGUGAAAUUCUGUAAUCCUGGGAGGACCGCCUGUUGCGAAGGCGUCUAACUGGAACGGUUCUGACGGUGAGGGACGAAAGUUAGGGGCGCGAACCGGAUUAGAUACCCGGGUAGUCCUAACUGUAAACGAUGCGGACUUGGUGUUGGGGUGGCUUUGAGCUGCUCCAGUGCCGAAGGGAAGCUGUUAAGUCCGCCGCCUGGGAAGUACGGUCGCAAGACUGAAACUUAAAGGAAUUAGCGGGGGAGCACCACAACGCGUGGAGCCUGCCGGUUUAAUUGGAUUCAACGCCGGACAUCUCACCAGAGGCGACAGCUGUAUGAUAGCCAGGUUGAUGACUUUGCUUGACUAGCUGAGAAGUGGUGCAUGG
Molecule: ribosomal RNA, 536 nt
Filed under: uncultured archaeon
Lineage: Archaea
Description: bacterial SSU rRNA
Rfam family: Archaeal small subunit ribosomal RNA
Source: RNAcentral